RNAcentral lists this long non-coding RNA (268 nucleotides) under Cavia porcellus (domestic guinea pig). RNAcentral describes it as "lncRNA (ENSCPOG00000037606.1)". Lineage: Eukaryota; Metazoa; Chordata; Mammalia; Rodentia; Caviidae. The record is from RNAcentral.
CAGAUCCACUGUCAUCUGGCAGUUGAUUCAGGUUCUGGUCAUUGGGUAAAAGUCUUGCCUUCCUCUUAUGUUGGAGCUUCCGGUUUCCAUAAAGCCUCAGCCUCAGGCAGGGAUGCAUCAUUUUUCAGCCACCUCCUAAUUCACUGCCUGGAGGACACCAGAGUUUGUCUAACUCCUACGCAAACUUCAGACACCAGAUGAUGGGCUUUUCCAAGCAGUCCUCCAACUUUCUUGACACCAGCAAGCUGUCCUACAGUUUAAAUCAAGC